CUCCAGGGGACGCAAACCUCGUCAUUGAAGAGAAGGGAAUAAGAAAAUAUCCAUGGUUUCUACUUGCUUUAUGGGAUUUCUUGUACAAGCAAGGAUAACCUGUGUAGAUUACCAAAAUGGAAACAUCCUGAAGCUGCUUUGA
RNAcentral lists this long non-coding RNA (142 nucleotides) under Fukomys damarensis (Damara mole-rat). RNAcentral's name for it is "lncRNA (ENSFDAG00000027994.1)". Lineage: Eukaryota; Metazoa; Chordata; Mammalia; Rodentia; Bathyergidae. The record is from RNAcentral.